AACGAACGCUGGCGGCAGGCUUAACACAUGCAAGUCGAGCGAUCCCUUCGGGGAUAGCGGCGGACGGGUGAGUAACGCGUGGGAACGUACCCUUUUCUACGGAAUAGCCUCGGGAAACUGGGAGUAAUACCGUAUAAGCCCUUCGGGGGAAAGAUUUAUCGGGAAAGGAUCGGCCCGCGCUGGAUUAGGUAGUUGGUGGGGUAAAGGCCUACCAAGCCUACGAUCCAUAGCUGGUUUGAGAGGAUGAUCAGCCACACUGGGACUGAGACACGGCCCAGACUCCUACGGGAGGCAGCAGUGGGGAAUCUUAGACAAUGGGGGCAACCCUGAUCUAGCCAUGCCGCGUGAUCGAUGAAGGCCUUAGGGUUGUAAAGAUCUUUCAGUGGGGAAGAUAAUGACGGUACCCACAGAAGAAGCCCCGGCUAACUCCGUGC
RNAcentral lists this ribosomal RNA (434 nucleotides) under uncultured Alphaproteobacteria bacterium. RNAcentral describes it as "bacterial SSU rRNA". It matches the Rfam family "Bacterial small subunit ribosomal RNA", at positions 29 to 508 of the family's 1533-position model. The record is from RNAcentral. Lineage: Bacteria; Pseudomonadati; Pseudomonadota; Alphaproteobacteria.